Rattus norvegicus (Norway rat) is the source of this 518-nucleotide non-coding RNA. NCBI's taxonomy places the organism in Eukaryota, Metazoa, Chordata, Mammalia, Rodentia, Muridae. The record is from RefSeq and is a predicted model, not a curated record.
UAUUGCAUACUGAAUUAGGUGAGAAGGUUUGUGUGGUGGUCUAAAUGAGAAAUGUCACUUGCUCCUCAGUUGUCGGUGGCACUCUUAGGGAGAGCUGAACCUUUAGAAGGUGGAGCCUUGGUGGAGGAAGUAAGUCAUCGGGGACCCAACUUCCUGUUGUCUUAGCUUCCGGUGGUCACAGAGUCAGGCUGCUCUCACACACCUGCUGCCCUGCCUUCUGUGCUACAAUGGACCGUGCCUCUCAAACUGCAGAGUAUUUCACUGAACCUGGAGUAUAUGGAUUGGCCUAGGCUGGCUGAUGAAUGGUCUCCAGGGUUUACCCUGUCUCCAUUCCCACUCUUCUGCAAGCACUAGGGUUAACAAAAGAUGCAUACUGCCAUAUACCAGGAUUUUAUGCAGGUUGCAAAGACAAAUACAGUAAGUGUCUGCAGUGCAGCUUAGGUCUCUGGAGGAGAACCAUCUGACUAUGAAAGCAAAUGUGCUAGACAGCUACCAAAGCCUCGGGUGAGGAAAGUCAC